Oncorhynchus tshawytscha (Chinook salmon) is the source of this 2370-nucleotide long non-coding RNA. Lineage: Eukaryota; Metazoa; Chordata; Actinopteri; Salmoniformes; Salmonidae. The record is from Ensembl.
AAAAAGUAUAUAAAGAGAACAGAGAUCAUAAGACAACAUGAUCCUCACUGACAUAUGAGACAGACUUCAUAUGGAGAAUCAUCACAGGUAAAUUUACUACUGCACUAUACUCUUUUUGUUAGACUAUAACAAUAUUUGAGAACUGGAUUAUUUUGCCUAAGUACAUAUUGGAUCACUAUCUGAAUAUACUUGGUGGAAUUUAGUGACCCCGAGACUGAGUCUAUGAAACACAGAGGUCUAAACACCUCUUGAAUACAGACGAAGUGCAGUCACUCAGUGAGACAUCAGGUACAGAUGUGAUUGGCAAUACAAGGAAACAGCAAAGUACCAGUUACAAUAUAUUGAGUCCAUACACAGAGUUGGAAGUGUAUAGAGAUAUUGGAAUUCGGAAUCUAGCGUCAUAGCUGUGAGAAUACCAAUUACAGGAAAGUGACCAAGGGGCUGAGCAUUUAAGAUGGAUUUACCCUACCUCCAGAAUGUUGAUAUUGCUGAACAGGAAGAAGAACCAUGACAGGGCCAGCAGGAAGAAGAUACAGAUAUAUUUGGACCAGCUUCUGUCAGUCCCCCUGAUGUUAACACAAAGAAGCUGACGAACGGCGUAACAGAAUCACCCACCACAACAGGACCAAGCAGCGUGGUGACAGGCAGCGGCAGCAGGAGCUACGAAGUUUAGAGUAUACGACUUGGGAGGAAAUAGACAGGUGGGCGGUCCACCCAGAGAGAGUGCCGGAGCCCGCCUGGGAUUCGCUGGAGCAGUGCGAAGAGGGCUAUAGAAGAAUGGAGUUGAAGAGACAAGCACGGCGGCGCAGAAGGAAGCCCGAGAGUCAGCCCCAAAAAUGUAUUGGGGGGCUCAGGGAGAGUGUGGCAGAGGCAGGGUUCAGACCUGAGCCAACUCCCCCUGUUUAUCGUGAGGAGCAGCGAUCACAGGACUUCUGGACGUGGGAGGAGAUAUUGGACGGAAAAGGACCCUGGACACAGCCUGGAGAAUAUCGCCGUCCCAAGGAAGAACUGGAGGCUGCGGAGAGGCGCUGGUAUGAGGAGGCAGCACGGCGACGCGGAUGGAAGCCUGAGAGUCAGCCCCAAAAAUGUAUUGGGGGGCUCAGGGAGAGUGUGGCAGAGUCAGGGUUCAGACCUGAGCCAACUCCCCUGUUUAUCGUGAGGAGCCAAGGAGGAGACCAGAACCAGAGCCGGUGUUGGAGGUGAGUGAAGCAGAGACUGUGAAGGAGUUAAUGGAGAAAGUAGAGGAGAGAGUUAUGAGGGAGUUGCUAGGUUGGUGCUUUAGGUACGAUAUUUGCCCGACGGAGCGUGUCGGGGAUUUGAUGGCACCUGGGUCAGCACUCCAUACUCGUCCUGAGGUGUGUGUUAGUCGGCUGGUGGAGAUUGUGCCAGCCUCACGCACUAGGCCUCCUGUGUACCUACCUAGACUUGCACAUCCUGUGCCAGCCCUGCUCUCAGGCUCUCCAGUACACCUUCACGGUCCGGUCCAUCCUGUGCCACCUUCACACACCAGUCCUCCGGUGGCAGCUCCCCGCACCAGGCUUCCUGUGCGUGUCCUCGGCCCAGUACCACCAGUGCCAGCACCACGCACCAGGCCUUCAGUGCGCCUCGCCUGUUCAGCGCUGCCAGAGCCUUUCUCCUCUCCAGUGCUGUCGGAGUCUCCCGCCUGUUUAGCGCUGUCGGAGUCUCCCGCCUGUUUAGCGCUGCCAGAGCCUUCCUCCUCUCCAGCGCUGCCGGAGUCUCCCGCCUUUUUAGCGCUAUCAGAGCCUUCCUCCUCUCCAGCGCUGCCGGAGUCUCCUGCCUGUUUAGCGCUGCCAGAGCCUUCCUCCUCUCCAGCGCUGCCGGAGUCUCCUGCCUGUUCAGCGCAGCCAGAGCUGCCAGUCUGCAUGGAGCAGCCAGAGCUGCCAGUCUGCAUGGAGCAGCCAGAGCUGUCAGUCUGCAUGGAGCAGCCAGAGCGGUCAGUCUGCAUGGAGCAGCCAGAGCUGUCAGUCUGCAUGGAGCAGCCAGUCUGCAUGGAGCAGCCAGAGCUGCCAGUCUGCAUGGAGCAGCCAGAGCUGCCAGUCUGCAUGGAGCAGCCAGAGCUAUCAGUCUGCAUGGAGUAGCCAGAGCUACCAGUCUGCAUGGAGCUGCCAGAUCCGCCAGUCAGCCAGGAUCUUCCAGAUCCGCCAAUCAGCCAGGAUCCGCCAGUCAGCCAGGAUCUGCCAGAACCACCAGCUAGCCAGGAUCUGCCAGAGCCAACUACCUGCCUGAGCUUCCUCUCAGUACUGGGCUUCCUCUCAGUACUGGGCUUCCUCUCGGUACUAGGCAUCCCCUCAGUGCUGAGCUUCCCCUCAGUCGCGAGCUUCCCCUCAGUCCCGAGCUGCCCCUCAAUCC